AACGCACAUUGCACCCUCUGGUAUUCCGGAGGGUAUGCCUGUUUGAGCGUCAUUUCUCUCUCAAAGCGCAAGUUUUGGUAUUGAGUGGUGCUCUCUGGAGCUAACUUGAAAUAUUGUUGGUGUUGUGUGCUCCGAGCAGACUGAGUCCGCGUAAUGUAUUAGGUUCUGCCAACUCGUUACAGGAAUUCUCAGGUUUUGUGGGGAGCGCGGGCGACGCCUAACAAGCCGGGAUUUCUUUCUAGAACUCUAGGAGGAAGCCCAAAAAGUUUGACCUCAAAUCAGGUAGGACUACCCGCUGAACUUAA
This 305-nucleotide ribosomal RNA is filed under the name uncultured fungus. RNAcentral describes it as "eukaryotic LSU rRNA". The stretch from base 1 to 52 matches the Rfam family "5.8S ribosomal RNA", at positions 103 to 154 of the family's 154-position model. Lineage: Eukaryota; Fungi. The record is from RNAcentral.